CCGACUCCUUCCCCUGACCCUCCGAGGCGGUGCUGUCCCUGACCGUACGGCUGGAGCUAGGGUUCAGAGAUGGGCAGUGAGAAGGAGCAGAGCCCAGAACAGCACCUGCCUGAGGAAGGGGAACGGGGUAAUAAGCCCUGGAGAGUGGAUGACUCAGAGGGUUCUUGGAUCCCAGAUGGGGAGAAAGAGCAUGGGCGAGCAAGCCUGUCAGAGGGGCCACGAGGGCUCUAUCCAGAGAAGCCACCGCAGGACGCCACUGUCCCCGCUGGAGAGCCAGAGGACCUCUCUGCUCAUCCGAGGCCCGAGGCCGAUGAGAAGCCCUUUAUAUGUGCCCAGUGUGGCAAAACCUUCAAUAAUACCUCCAACCUGAGAACACACCAGCGGAUCCACACAGGCGAGAAACCCUACAAGUGUUCUGAGUGUGGCAAGAGCUUCUCGAGGAGCUCCAACCGCAUCCGGCACGAGCGCAUCCACCUGGAGGAGAAGCACUAUAAGUGCCCCAACUGCGAGGAGAGCUUCCGGCGGCACUCGGACCUCACCACGCACCAGCAGGACCACCUGGGCAGGCGGCCCUUCCGCUGCGACAUCUGCGGCAAGAGCUUCAGCCAGAGCUCGGCGCUGGCCGUGCACUACCGGACCCACCUGGAGCCGGCGCCCUACAUCUGCUGCGAGUGCGGGAAGAGCUUCAGCAACAGCUCCAGCUUCGGCGUGCACCACCGCACCCACACGGGUGAGCGGCCCUAUGAGUGCGCCGAGUGCGGGCGGACCUUCAGCGACAUCUCCAACUUUGGGGCGCACCAGAGGACCCACAGGGGCGAGAAGCCCUACCGGUGCACGCUGUGCGGGAAGCACUUCUCCCGCAGCUCCAAUCUCAUCCGCCACCAGAAAACUCACCGAGGAGAGCAGGCUGGGAAAGAUGCCAGCUGAAGAGGGCAAGGAAGAGAGAGAGCAGAGCGUGGGACCCCAACCUAGUGCAGAAAGGUCUUUAGGAUCUCCUGCUGCCCCCUUGACCUCAAGCCCUUCCUCCCACUUUGGAGAAUGGUUUUCUGUUGCCUCUGAAGCCAGGAUCUCCAGGAAGUCCUGAGAAGGGACUCUUGAGUAAAAAUCUUCACUUUUUUCCAGGCCGAUUUCUUGUGGUAGAAAGUCAGAGGACCCCGUCUUGGCUUCACCUCCUUGGGGUGAAAGAGAAAUAAGUCUGGAGCCCUGCUCUUCCAGAGUGAGGGGCCCUCCUCAUUUGUAGCCAGUUGGCAGAAUGUGACUCUGGCACUGCUGAUGACCUGACCUAUCACACGGGAUCUCGCCGCCUCCCCAGGAAGGGAUACGCCAGUCAUCAUCCUAUUCUCACAACAGCCCUGUCAAGUAAGGAUUACCCACAUUUGACAGAUGCAGAAACAGGCUUACAUGGCAAGUCAGUGGCAGGGUCAGGAACCUAACCUACUUCUACCCAAACCCAAAGCCUGUAUUUUUUGUAACCAUAAAAGACGACUUCCCAAACAAUUCCCUGACAUUUUGUAGGAUCCUUUUCAGUUUACAAAGCACUUUUAUUUCAUGUACAUUUUCCUGCUCCUUGAAAAUCUCCAUACAAAAUAUUUUAAACAUAUAGUCACCCAACUUGCAUGUAUGAAUUGCUCCCUAAUAAUAGAAGUUGCCAGGGACUUCCCUGGAGGUCCAGUGGUUAAGACUCCAUGCUUCCACUGCAGGGGGCACAGGUUCGAUCCCUGGUUGAAGAACUAAGAUCCCGCAUGCCAUGUUGCCAAAAUAAAUAAAUAAAACUUUAAAAAGUUGCCAUCUAACAGCUACUGAAUGCCAGUUAUUAUACACCAUUAUUUCUGAUCUCCAUGACUAGUCUGCAAAGUAGUAGUAUCCCCAUUGUCAAGAUAAGGAAGUUCUGAGGGGUUAAAUGACCUGACCUAAUGGCUGAGCUGGGAUUCCAAUCAGGUGUGUCUGAUUCCAAGGCCAGCUCUUCAUUUUGCUCAUUACCAAGCUAGGUCUGCUGUUCUCCUCUCAGUCUGGGGAGCUUGGUAAUCCUUCCAGACCCAGAGCCUUAGUGACAACUGCUGUGAUUCUUUUGGAGUCUGCUGCCAGUGAGACCCAGGACCUGCUUUGAUCUUGGGACAUAACUUGCUGGCCGAUCUCAUUUGCCCUUUUUUGACCAAGUUCAUAGGCUAGGUUUUCUGUGUUGGUCCAGGCUAUUGAGUCCUGACUAGUCCAUUUAUUCGCUCUCUGACUUCCUUUUUUGCUAGCUUCCUUUAUUUUCUCCUUCAUUCCCUUUUCCUCUUCCCUUUCUUCUCCCUUUCCUCUCCCCUUCUUUCUUCCCUCCCCACUUCCUUCCUCUCUCUCUUCCUCCUAGUUGCUAGGAAUACUGACAGUGAAGUUGUGGCUCCUGUGUUCUCUGAUGUGGGGUGGCUGUCAGGCUUCAACAACACGCAAACCUGGAAGGGUGGGGCCCUCAUCAGCUCCUGGCACUUGAUCCUGGUGUGGUGGCCACCCGCAGGCUCCCUGCCCCUAGACCGAAUUCACAUGAAGCCCUUUCCCUCCCGUCAACCUUAUGGCCUUCAUGCAAUUCAGUUCCAUCCACCAACAUUUAUCAAGCGGCUGUUAUGUGUCAGGAAGCAGGGGGUUCUCCCCGCCUCACCUAAGGGAGUUUUAACUGGAUGCCCGACAGGGUCCAGAACAGGGAAGGGAGGUUGGGGGUAGGCAGGGAGAAGGGAAAAGCUGUGCACACUUAGCCUAUGUUCAGGCCCUCUUUCUUGCCUCAGCACUGGAGGAACUUGACCCCUGAACUCUCUCCCCCGUGAUAGGAAAGGUACAAGGGACAUCAGUACAGCCAUAGGCAGAGCCCAUGGACCCCAACUUCUGUUGGAACAGGCAGUCAUGCCUGGUCUCUUUCUGCUCUGAAAAUUCUGGGUUCCUUCUGCUAUGAGAUCCCAGAUGAAAGGAGAGACCCACGUGCACUUUUACCCACAGGCCUUGCCGCCUACCAUCCAAUACUCACUCCUUGGAAUCAAGGCAUUUCCCCAGAGUCUCUAGUCAACAGGGAGACAUUAACCCAUUACUGUUUGGGUAACAUAACUUCUUUCCCAUUCACGAUCACAAUACAGUAGUGCAGGCAAAUUACAGGAUUGCUUUUGUCAGAGCCUGGAAGAGAGGCCUGGAGCCAAUCCUACACACAUCUGGGUAUUGGAAAAUAGUGAUUAUAACAGCAUUUACUAUUGAGCCUAAUUUCUAAAUCUUCACAAUUCUGCAAGGUAAUUAUUGUUUCCAUUUUGCAGAUGAUGAAAUUGAGGUUCAGUUAGAUCAAGUGACUUGCUCAUUUAAGGUCACAUGGCUGCUAGGUGGCUCACCUGGGAUUUUAACCAACCCAGGCCUCAUACUAAUGCCUUCUUAAUGACCGCAUUGUCGUUAAGCCUUGCUCCCUGGACCCCCGCUCC
RNA transcript from Balaenoptera acutorostrata (minke whale), 3431 nucleotides. It is a transcript of the gene named zinc finger protein 691, with no coding region annotated. The transcript has 3 exons. The record is from RefSeq and is a predicted model, not a curated record. NCBI's taxonomy places the organism in Eukaryota, Metazoa, Chordata, Mammalia, Artiodactyla, Balaenopteridae.